This 779-nucleotide long non-coding RNA is filed under the name Linum usitatissimum (flax). Its description in RNAcentral is "long non-coding RNA (LUSI_LNC007604)". The record is from RNAcentral. Lineage: Eukaryota; Viridiplantae; Streptophyta; Magnoliopsida; Malpighiales; Linaceae.
AAUAGUAGAAGCAUCGCUAUUGCACAGUCAAACAAACCCUAUCUAUUUCACAUCCCAUGUUCAGUAGAUUACAGUGUGAUUCACAUCCCCUGUUCAACAAUACUAAGAGCCCGGCUCUAAAAUCUCAACAUCUGUACAUUAUAUCGCAUGCUACUGCAUAGUCUUGGAAGCGCGACUCCGUACACACUAACACUCCAAUCAUUGGAUUCCUGACAACCUAUUACAUUUCUAUACUUAACGCAUAAAAGUAAUCCUAAACCCCACCUGGUAUUAAGAGCUGACACCUCUGAUUUUGACUUGACAUGAUUCCUCUCAUUGCCACAAGUCUGUAUCUUCUGACCGUGCGUCGUUUGGAGCUCAAACUCCUGAGUUAUGCUCCAUUUAGUUCAUUGCAACAUUUUCAAACUCGCUAGUCCUCUAACUGCCUCCAUUAUACUAACUGAUCCAGAACUUCCUGUCGUUGACAAACAGACCCAAGUCAUUAUCUGUAAACCACCAAAAAGUUCAGAACUACCGAAGCAAAACUCGCAACUAACUGGGAAAAUUACCAAUUGGUCACUUAACUUCCGUGACUUGCAGUUUGGUCCCCUAUCUUCUCCGGAUAACUGAGGUCGCCGCCUGCAAAUUCUGCCAAAUUUUCUAGUGACCACCAGCGACCUUCAACAUUCUUGGAAUGUGGUCCUACUGCCGCUGCCGUCUCCUAGUUUGUCGCCGCGGCCCUUCGGCCGAUCUCUACCGCCAGAACACGCUUCCACGUGCCGCUUCCGUCGCCAGAUCCA